This 1244-nucleotide long non-coding RNA is filed under the name Homo sapiens (human). RNAcentral's name for it is "HSALNT0327790". Lineage: Eukaryota; Metazoa; Chordata; Mammalia; Primates; Hominidae. The record is from RNAcentral.
GCCAAAUUAAAGAAGGAUGUGAAGGUUAGGCUAAGAAGUGUGAUGAGCUUUAUUUAGGUAAUAGGCAAUGAGGAGAAAUUGAAACAUGAAGGAACAUAAUUUGAGGUGUGAUUAUUUGAGUUUUUAAAAUAUUAUCACUGUGCAUCAGAAUGGGUUAGGGAAGGCUUAAAUCCUGGAUGCUGGCUCAGCACCUAUUAGAGCAAUUAAAAUGAGAAAUGAUGCAGACUAAACUAGAAUUUCAGGUAAAAAUGGGAAAAAUAGGCGUUAAAAAAUGGUAUAAACGUUAAAAAACUACACUUGACUGAGUUAGAAUAUGGAGGAAAAGGAAGUAUGGAGAUCAAAAGAAAACAUCAGGAUUUGGGAGCUUGGACACAGGUUUUGCUUUUCCAUCUUUUAUGGAGUAUGAUUUACUUUCAAAUCGCCUCUGAAGAAACCUAUUAGUCAGUCAACUGCAGAAAAACUUCUCCAUAAUAUCUACCUGGAAUAUAUCUUGCUUCCAUUCACCUUCUUCCUUUGUCAAUGACUCUCAGGAGGAAUACAGUCUUUGUCAGUCAUAAAGGAAGGAAGAGUCAAUGACAUAGGAUCCCAAACACGGCUAAAAUGUCUCAUAUCUAAUGCUGUACUCCCCCUCUUAACCAAAAUUUGUGUCAGGAAAAGGCACAAAACUCCACCAAAGGAUUACGGUACCUUAAUCCAAGGAAGUUGUAUAGAGGCUAGUAUUUAAAAUUGUCAUUUUGAUAGGCCCCACUAGUGGAUUUUAUCCCCUGUUAGGUUGGACAAUCCUCAGUAUAUACACCUUACUACACAAAGUGAAAAAUUAUGUGGUACACAAGACAGAAGAAAAGCCAAACAUACAAGAAACAAAGCAUUCAACAGAAGAUUCAGAGAUGACCCAGAUAUUGAAACUAAAUGGAAAUGCCAAUUCUCAAGCUCAUAUGUAAUUUCAACUGGAUUUUCAAAUGCAAAAUAAGUUGAAUCUCUACCUUAUGCCAUAUAUAAAAAUUAACCCCAAAUGGACUGAAAACAUAAAUAUAAGCAUGAAUAUUAACACUUUUGGAAGAAAUCAUGGGGUAAAUCUUCAUAACCCUGGAUUUGGCAACGAAUUCUUAGUUAUGAUAUCAAUAACAUAAAUAUGGAUAAAUUGGAUUUCAUCAAAAUUAAAAGCUUGUAUGUACCAAAAAUGUUAUCAAAGAAGUAAAAUGACAAUCUAGAAUGGAGGAGAAAAUAUUUGUGAAUCAUAUCUC